This is a long non-coding RNA of Centruroides sculpturatus (bark scorpion), 650 nucleotides long. RefSeq lists it as uncharacterized. The transcript has 3 exons. NCBI's taxonomy places the organism in Eukaryota, Metazoa, Arthropoda, Arachnida, Scorpiones, Buthidae. The record is from RefSeq and is a predicted model, not a curated record.
AAGUCCGGCGUUUAAAUAUUUGGUUAUUAAAACUCGGACUUAGUUAUUAUAUACCGGGUGUAACUGAACUCUGUGCCAAUAUUUCAGGGAAAGAGUCAUUCGUUCACACAAUUCGCAGUUUUCAAGAGAUCAGCCGCACUUAUUUGAUUCGAUAGUAGAUUGUCUUGAUGAAGAUGGCAUCUGUGCCCGAGGUUUGCAGAAUGUAGGCUAUAUAUCUCAUUCAAGCUGCUAAUUUUCGGAGGCCCCAAGCGCGCGCUUCUUGUGCCUAUACUACGAUGAUCGCUGCUGCAAAGAUGGACGAUGUCACAUAUUAAAACAUGAUAGGCUUACUUUAUACGUUUAAGAUAAUAGGACAAGAAAUAGUCCAGAACUCACAAAGAGGUGGCGGCUGUAUCAUGAGUUCUGCCCAACGAGCUAUAAUAUACUACAUAGAAUAAUGCCAUGUUUACAGAAAAUUGAAUACACGUCCGCCAUUUUCUUUUUAGUCAAGGAGACGUGCCAUUUGUGCUGUGUAAAGGCAACGAUUAUAUUCUAACUCGUUGUGUAAGUGUGAAAAGAAAAGGAAAACUUAACACUUAACUGAGAUGGUGCGAAUCAAAAUGAAUCUACUUAGUUAUUUUGUUUUAAAAGUAAAUAACAAGAUAUUUUUU